RNAcentral lists this transfer RNA (66 nucleotides) under Psylliodes heydeni. Its description in RNAcentral is "tRNA-Asn". The record is from RNAcentral. Lineage: Eukaryota; Metazoa; Arthropoda; Insecta; Coleoptera; Chrysomelidae.
UUAAUUGAAACCAAAAGUUAGAGGUAUAUCACUGUUAAUGAUAUAAUUGAGUAAUCUCCAAUUAAA